Molecule: ribosomal RNA, 458 nt
Filed under: uncultured marine microorganism
Description: bacterial SSU rRNA
Rfam family: Bacterial small subunit ribosomal RNA
Source: RNAcentral
GGGGAAUUUUCCGCAAUGGGCGAAAGCCUGACGGAGCAAUACCGCGUGAGGGAGGAAUGCCUUUGGGUUGUAAACCUCUUUUCUCAGGGAAGAAGAUCUGACGGUACCUGAGGAAUAAGUAUCGGCUAACUCCGUGCCAGCAGCCGCGGUAAUACGGAGGAUGCAAGCGUUAUCCGGAAUCAUUGGGCGUAAAGCGUCCGCAGGUGGUUUUCAAAGUCUGCUGUUAAAGACUGGAGCUCAACUCCGGAAAGGCGGUGGAAACUUGGAAACUAGAGUUCGGUAGGGGUAGCAGGAAUUCCCAGUGUAGCGGUGAAAUGCGUAGAUAUUGGGAAGAACAUCGGUGGCGAAGGCGUGCUACUGGACCGCAACUGACACUCAGGGACGAAAGCUAGGGGAGCGAAAGGGAUUAGAUACCCCUGUAGUCCUAGCUGUAAACGAUGGAAACUAGGUGUGGCUUG